Xiphophorus couchianus (Monterrey platyfish) is the source of this 3154-nucleotide long non-coding RNA. RefSeq lists it as uncharacterized. Lineage: Eukaryota; Metazoa; Chordata; Actinopteri; Cyprinodontiformes; Poeciliidae. The transcript is spliced from 2 exons. The record is from RefSeq and is a predicted model, not a curated record.
UGGCCACAUUUUCUGUUUUUCGUAACAGAUCUUAUUUUUUAUUGAGGAGAGUCAAUUUGGGCUUUCCAUUUUAGAAAAUAAAACAAUGACAAUAUUACAAAUAAUGAAAUUGUUACAUCAUUCACAGGGUUACAGUCGAUAUACAUUUAUACAGAAAUACAGGAUCUCCCACAUCAGUCACAGUGGUCUGAACCGGCACUGGUCUAUUAUGUGGGCAUUAACAGAUCAGUGGAACAGGGAUAUCCCCCUGACUGCAAUAAUCAGGAGCCAGAGUGGUAUUUGGUGGAGGGGCUAGAUGUUGGGGGCAGGUGGGAGCAACUGAGGGGAACACACAGUCACACAGGAGAGCACAUGUGCCAGGACGCUGUAAUGGUACAAAUGUUUGUUCAACAGGGAAAAAUACACAGGCUUACUCUUAGCAGCAGCCAGUAUUUGUCCAUCAGCAGCUUGCUCAAGUCUCCAAAACACUGGAGAUUUGCCUGCUGCAGAAUUCACAAACUAAAUGGGCUUGAAAAUGUCAGUCUAAGAACAUUUGAAACACGUCAGUAGAGGGCGCCAUGCUGCUUCCCGCUGCAGCUGUUAAACUACACAACAUGACGCUGACUUCUUAAUAACAUGGAUCGGCUCGAUGUUUAUCAUGUAACUGUAACACUCAGACUUUACCCUUUUCCUCCGUCCUUUAAAAAAUGGCACACUGUAAAGGGAAGGCUGAGUAGUUCUGCUUUGCAUCGCAGAUAUAAAGAUUAAACACAUUGUCUUGCUACAAAAAAUGUAGUUCGAAAAUGUGGAAAGCGAUCAUUGAUGUCACAGCCAAAAAGCAUUAAAAAAAAACAAAACAGUAAAAACGUUUUGAAUGAGUGCAGCAGGAGAUUAUGUAUGCAAAUUAAACAAUGUGCACAAUUAUCUUUUUUAAAUAUAUAUAUAUUUACAAAUAACCAACUGUCUGAGUAAUCAUAAAAUAAUAAAAAUAUCCAACUACAUCUCUUAAUUUUGAUAUCCAUUGCCAUUUGAGGGAAUAAUGUUGCUUACAUCAAAAAUUCUGUCUCAUUUCAGAGGAAAUAAAAAAUGAUUACAGUGAAAAUUCCUUCAGAAAUAUUCUUGCUAUAAAUGUGUCACAGAUGAAUCAGAAGCCUCAUUUUUUAUACAUUUUAACAAUCCGUAUUCAGUUGCUUAAAUUAAACAUAAGGGACCCACUGUUCAAUGUGCUCCCUAAACUGCAAUAAUGUAGAGUUGCAAGAAUUAGAUUACUUUUUAAAAUUUUAUAACGCAAAUUAAUUUCUUCUAAUUUCAUAAUGCAAAUCUGAAAUUUCAAAUGCAAAACCAGCAAAAAAACCUGCCUUGCAAAAAAAAAGAAUAGACAGUAAGCAGAAGGGAUUACCCACACCCUCUUUAAGGUUGUUCCUUAAAGGAAAUGUCAGGAAUAAUUGCUUGAUUAAUAACUCAAAGUCUUGGCAGCAUCCACAGACAAGCCUCUGAAUGAGCUAUAAUGGGGCUGGAGUAAAGAAAUACUGUACCUUGCCAGCCUUUCGCAUACUGCAAAUUAAUUUCUUGCACAUUAAGUGCUUUUCCUGAUGACGGAAUAUUUCCCGUACUGUGAGAAUACAUGCUACAUUUUAAAACAAAACUGAUGAGUUGGUACAUGCUGCAAAAUAAAAAAUAGAAGUGGGAAAAGGUCAGAAAAAACACUACGUUUUGGUGGCAUCUAGGUCACAGUACUGCCUCUCACUUUGCUUCCCCGUUUUCUGUGGCUCACGAUUCUCCCCCUCUACUUUUACAAAGCGUUUUAUGAAAAAAUCCAGGGCAAACCCUAUUUGCUAUUAUGUAUCCUGCUGCAGAGGCAAAGAAAAAAAAAUCAAUCCCUCUCUGCUUUAAAGUCGGUGGACAGCUGGGGGUAAAGUAAGAUAGGAUGACAGUGGUGGAGUAACUGAGGUUUCUCUCUUUUUUUUUCAAAGAGAGUGUUUAGUGCCAAAGCUGCCUGUAGUGGGAACAUGAAAACUCAGGUCAGCGUCUGAAGGUUUGGUUCAAGUAAACAUGAGAAGCAUUGUCCAGCCUGGAGGAAUCUCAGUGGCACAUACCAUUAGGACAAGACAAGACACAACUGCUACGCUGUUGAAUGUUAAUAUGCCUGCUGCCGCUGAUGCGUUUUAAACACGCCAAGACUGAACCAGACAACUGGCCAAAGCCGACUAAGAGUAGAUCAGAGGGAGCCGUUUGACAGGUGGUCGACAGGCAUGUGUGUUAUCAGGAGGACAGAAAGAAGAAAUCGGUGCCUGGGCAGAGAAGCUGUGAUCGGGGUGCAGCCGCCCCACUGUGACCAGACACAUCUGACCGAUGGCUCACAGCUGGACACCCAUGUCUGUCUGUCAGCUCUCAGGGCAGAGCCUGGCAGGAGCUCGGCACUACUGCUUAUCAUUUAUUGGUUGUGUGCAUAAACCCAUGUCUGAUUUACCAUCUCUGAAGAGUCACGGGGUUUCCUUGAACUCCAUCUCCCCCUUUACAAAACUUACAACAGGUUAACAGCAACAACACAAACCAGGACUGGCAGUUCUGUAUUCAUGUAAUAAUUAGUCCUCAUAAAAUAAUAUACAGUGAAUGCAUACAUGUGAAGAACAGAAGCUUUUACAAGGUAAAGCUUUAUCUACAUGGUUUUGUGCAUGAUUUGUCCUUCAAAAAUAAAUGGAAAGCAAUGGAGGAAAUUCCCGAGAGUUGCUAACAAAAAAUAAACUCAAACUCAUGGGAACAAUAGAAAUUCAAAAAUAGUCAUACCAGAAUUGCAACAAUGUAGCACACAUUUUAGUUUUUAUUCAACAAAUGUAUGACUGUGACAUGACUGUGAAUGUAAAACAACUGUGUGGUAUCAAAACUUUAAUCAUUGAAGCAUAAACAUACUUUUUUUUUAAACAGGAAAACUGGAAGAAUACUGAAUAUAGUACUAGACUAAUCGCUGCAAAUCAAAGCACUGUGAAAUUAACCACUCACUCAGCAUGCUAUCAAACACAAGAUUCGACACUGUUAGAAGCUACCUUUGUCUUUGUGUGUGUGACAUGUGAGUGCAACAUGUGCAAGUACGCACAGACGGCACUUCAGAUAAACACCCUGAUGGAGGAUGCUGUAACUGGAUUAUUUUGUCUUUAUGUAGAGUCUGAUGUAAACA